Molecule: ribosomal RNA, 253 nt
Filed under: uncultured bacterium
Lineage: Bacteria
Description: partial 16S ribosomal RNA
Rfam family: Bacterial small subunit ribosomal RNA
Source: RNAcentral
AACGUAGGACGCAAGCGUUAUCCGGAGUUACUGGGCGUAAAGCGCGGGCAGGCGGCCUCGCAAGCCUGAUGUGAAAGCACUCUGCUCAACAGAGUGAUGCCAUUGGAAACUACAAGGCUGGAGUCUGGCAGAGGUAGGCGGAAUUCCGGGUGGAGUGGUGAAAUGCGUAGAUAUCGGGAGGAACACCAGUGGCGAAGGCGGCCGCCGAGCCUGCAACUGACGCUGAAGCGCGACAGCGUGGGGAGCAAACGGG